This 482-nucleotide long non-coding RNA is filed under the name Rattus norvegicus (Norway rat). RNAcentral describes it as "partial HAfT10 cufflinks 00032581". The record is from RNAcentral. Lineage: Eukaryota; Metazoa; Chordata; Mammalia; Rodentia; Muridae.
CUCUACUUUUGUAAUGACACAGGGUUAGGAAACAGACGGAUGAAAUAUGAAAGUUUUGAAGCAGAAAAAGUUUUCAUGUGUUUAAUUUUAAGUGGAAAAUUUAGAGCAAGAUGGGCACCCCCGACCCUGGAAUAACAGCAUGAAAGCAUGCUUGCAACCAUUAAAGGAAGGAAGUGGAGAGACCUCGGUGGGGUGCACACUUUUGGGUACAGAAGGGAGGGUGACUGUCUUUUCUGCAGCAGGCACUUCUUGGUAAGGUCAUAGUUUGGGAAGCGGAGGAGAAUGUGGGCCCCAGAAUGGGGUACUGGCAGGGCUCGAUCUUUCGUCCUUGAAACUCAUUGUCUGUGUUAGGUUCUGCAGAAGUAGGCCCAGAGAUGACUUUCAUAGUUCAGAUCCUGUGAGGUAUCCCAGGAAACACAGGCGAUGGCUGGGCCUGGGAAGGCAGUCUUUGUGCACAGAAGUCACCGUUGUUUUGGUUCUCU